Molecule: long non-coding RNA, 510 nt
Organism: Helianthus annuus (common sunflower)
Lineage: Eukaryota; Viridiplantae; Streptophyta; Magnoliopsida; Asterales; Asteraceae
Exons: 3
Source: RefSeq, a predicted model, not a curated record
UAUCUGCUAUCUCUCUCUCUGACUCAAGAAGAUCAAGUCUAUACAAGGGGAUCGAUGAAGAUUUCACCAGAUCGAUGAAGAUUCCGACUUCUCUCAUUGGCGGUUGUAGAUGUUGGUUGUCUGGUUGAUCUCGGUUUUGACCAUUCGACAAAUCCUGAGAAAACGUUUCCCAAAAGGCUUGGAGUGGAGUCGGGUGUAAGAAGUAGUGGGAACGAAGCUAAACGUAGAGUAGCCAGAUCUUUUUUAAGUUUCCCCCAGAUUCUCCACCUUUUUUUCUCACACACGCUUCAAUGGUGUCCGUACAACAAUUAUCUGCAAUCAAGGGCUCGAAAGUGCUUAUGGUUGGUGCUGGUGGUAUUGUUUGCGAGCUUCUCGAAACCCUAGCCUUUUCAGGUUUUCGGGAUAUUCAUAUUGUAAGUCAACUUUGCGCUAAUGCGAGUUAUAGUUAUUGUUGUUAUCAUUGUUUAUUAUUAAAUCUUCAUUGACUUAUUCUGUUGUUUUGAGUGCGAU